CAAACAUGAUUCAGACUGCCUCAGAACCAGCUUUAACCUGACCUGUGAUUCUGUGAGGAGUUGGGCAAACAUGAUUCAGACUGCCUCAGAACCAGUUUUAACCUGACCUGUGAUUCUGUGAGGAGUUGGGCAAACAUGAUUCAGACUGCCUCAGAACCAUUUUAACCUGACCUGUGAUUCUGUGAGGAGUUGGGCAAACAUGAUUCAGACUGCCUCAGAACCAGUUUUAACCUGACCUGUGAUUCUGUGAGGAGGUGGGCAAACAUGAUUCAGACUGCCUCAGAACCAGUUUUAACCUGACCUGUGAUUCUGUAAGGAGAUGGGUGUUGUAUGUUGUGUUAUUAUGUGGACUAUGUCAUUGUGUAGUUAUGUAGUCAUGUACUAUAUUGAAAGCUUACUGAGUUGAACUGUAAAUCUUCAAGUGGUGAUGAAUCAGAAACGGAGACGUGACAGAUUGUGUCCCAAAUGACACCUUAUUCCCAAGAACAGAGUGCUACUUUAGGAAAUGGCCAAUAGGGGGCCUUAGUUAAAGUUGUGAACCAUAUUAAGGAAUUGGAAACAGUUUUACAAUCAGCAAGGUUCUGUUUCGUUUUUUUGUCCUAAUGUAAAUGCAAUCAACUAUAUUGUGUGUGUGCGUGUGUGUGUGUGUGUGUGUAUGUAUAUGUGUGUGUAUAUACAUAUAUAUAUAUAUAUAUAUAUAUAUAUAUAUAUAUAUACUGCAGAGAUGUUCUAGAUGCAGUAUAUAUUUUAGAUGUUUUAUUUUUGUGGCAUUCAGAUGUUAAUGCUACACAGUGAGUCACAGAUGUCUAAUGUAGAUGUGUGAGUGUGGACAUUAAAAUAAAAAAAUAUGAAAAUGAUUUACUAAUUCUAACCCAAACAACCUUAACAUAAGUUCAACCCUGAAAACCUAGCCGUAGCCCAAAAUGAAAUAGUACUGUAACUCCUAACUUUAAACCAUAAUUGUACACCUAAACCUAACCCAUAUUGUUUAAACUUAAUUAUAUCCUAAUCUUAAUCCUAUGCUAAUCUUAAUCCUAUUCUCUAACACACAGCAGGCUCUACAGGGUACCUACUUUGCUAAUCUAAAACUGUUUCAUGCCAUCUGGGAUUUUUAUUUAGACUGCAUGCUUUCAAAUGUUAAGGAAUGUAGCUUGAGUUGCUCAAAUAUACUACAGGUCAUUGUGCACCUAAAUGUCAUGUGUAUGCUUAACAUGUUCAAUUUAGUCACACAGAACCGUGUAGAAAUGUCAGUGGAAAGCCUUGCACGCACACACAUCCACACACACACUUUUAGAGGUGGUUGUUCCGUUAGGAGAUCCAGUAACUCCAUUCACGCCUAGUUAGUGAAGCUUGGCUGACAGACCAGCUGAUGCUACCAGUGGCUCCCUAAUACCUACAUGGCGAAGAGCAUCUUCCCCAGUCCAGAUUAAAUGUAUCUUCCCCAGUCCAGAUUAAAUAUAUGUUCCCCAGUCCAGAUUAAAUUUAUCUUCCCCAGUCCAGAUUAAAUGUAUGUUCCCCAGUCCAGAUUAAAUGUAUGUUCCCCAGUCCAGAUUAAAUGCAUCUUCCUCCAUCCAGAUUAAAUAUAAUAUCUGUUAAAGCUUAUCAGUGAUUACAAUUGAACUGAAUAAUUGUCAAGUUUACAAUUACAUGGUCCUUGUAGAAGAGCCUUGGUCAUGAGGUUCUGGAGAGUUGAUAUGAUGACUUUUCACUGAACAGAGACUUAGCCAUGCCAAAACAAUGUUGAAAAAUUUGACUGACGUUGUGCACUACCUUUGUAGUGCACUAAUUUUGAACAGGUCUGGUUGGGAAUUCUUUAGGGCAUAGACUGCCAUUUGGGACGCACAUAUGCAGACAUGUUACAGAAGCUGCUGUAAGGCUUUAGGGCCGGUUGUUGUUACCUAGUCAAACAUGCCAUAUACUAUAGCCAUGUUCUGCCUUUUGAAGUUGAAAUUAUAUAUUUAUCAGGUUUUUAUUUUAUUUCUAGUCAUAUGUACAGAAUAUUUGUGCCGGUCACCCAUUUAAUAUGAGCUAGAUAGAAAUCAUAGAUAUAGAUAUCAUAAGAUGUAAAUGUAAAAGAUCUCAUUAUAAACAUGUCCCAAAUUGUGAUUUUUACUAAGACGUGUAAAUUAUUGAUUUCAUUGAAAGAUUUUUCAAAUAAUCCAACCUAUGCAUUUAUCCCUUGAUUUUGAUGUGUUGUUAUUGUGUUGUUAUAAUUUUAUUAGACCUGAAGACAAGAUUUAUUGUAUCAUUGAGCUGUUUGGUAUAUCAUUAGUAUACUGUUGUUGCAAUUAUUGUAUGUUCUGAAAACUUAUAUGAAAAAACUAAAUACAUCUAGAAAAUAGAUGGAUGAUAUUGACAUUAUUGACCUGCUAAGCUUUUUGUAAACUGACACUGUUAUUCUUGUAUUUAGCUUCAGUUUGUAGAACAUUUUUAAAUAUUAUUAAAUAUAUCAAUCAAAUUUAUUUAUAAAGCCCUUUUUACAUCAGCAGUUGUCACCAAGUGCUUUUACAAAACACCUGGCCUUAAACCCCAAGGAGCAAACAACAGUAGUGUUUCACUUAUAUAUUUCACAUAUAUCUAUGACAAAAAGGAAUUGUUAAAGGCAAAAUAAUAUUUAAAAUAAUAAAGAUAUGAUUUUAACUUUGUGGGGCAAUUCCUACCCUAAUGGAGGAUUUGGGACCACAUUUGUAAUUUGAUUAUAGAAAGAUAUUGCACUUUUACUUUUACAUUUUAUUAAUAACAGUGCUCCUUGUGAACAGAGGAAUAAAAACAAAACAUAUGUUUAGAAACUAAAUUGUUAAAUUUUUUACUUAAGUAAAGGAGUACAUUUGAAUUGUGCUGUGUGAUUACAAUCAAAAGGAAA
This is a long non-coding RNA of Esox lucius (northern pike), 2863 nucleotides long. Lineage: Eukaryota; Metazoa; Chordata; Actinopteri; Esociformes; Esocidae. The record is from Ensembl.